AUCUUUGUUUGUUUCUAUAUUGCACCUGUUCUGCCUUCAAGACUUCAUUGAAUAACCUACAUCAGUAAUGUUUAGAUCCAAAAAUUAGGUCAACCAUAGUCAAAUAAACAUAGAGCUUUGUAACCAAAACAGGUCUACAAGAGAGAUUUGUAACUUAAAGAGGUCUACAACAGAGCUUUGUAACCAAAAGAGGUCUACAAAAGAGCUUUGUAACCAAAAGAGGUCUACAAGAGCUUUGUAACCAAAAGAGGUCUACAAAAGAGCUUUGUAACCAAAAGAGGUCUACAAGAGAGUUUGUAACCAAAAGAGGUCUACAAGAGAGAUUUGUAACCAAAAGAGGUCUACAAGAGAGCUUUGUAACCAAAAGAGGUCUACAAAAGAGCUUUGUAACCAAAAGAGGUCUACAAGAGAGAUUUGUAACUAAAAGAGGUCUACAAAGAGCUUAGUAACUAAAAGAGGUCUACAAGAGAGCUUUGUAACCAAAAAAGGUCUACAAGAGAGAUCUGUAACUAAAAGAGGUCUAAAACCAUUGAAGAGAUUCUAUCCUCAAGGAAGUAGCAACCUUAGUCUGUGUAAAUUUACCAUAUUUAUCAGACAAUAGUUUAUUUAAAUGAACAUUAUAAUUCUCAGGCAAUUCCAAAACAUGUAUUAUAGGGCUGACUACUUUUGCUGUGUUACCAAACCUAGCAAAAUUUAAAAUAUCUAUCUUUAACAGUAAAAAAAAACAUAUAUUUGUUCCUUGGAGUGUUCAUAUUAAUAAAUAAAUGUCUUUUGUUUGGAAAACAAUAAAAAGGUUCAAUAACAUUAAUUCAAAGGUAAAUAUUUUAGGAGUUAAAAAAAAAAUGAAAAAGAUUAAAAAUUGUAAAGAUGCUAAUAAUCAAUGUUAAAAACAAUCAUCUUUAAUUCUGUGAUAAAAAUCUACAAGUUAUUUGGCAUAGAAAAAAAGGACUGAAAUAUAUUCCUUUGGCACACUCGUAACAAAAUUGU
Molecule: long non-coding RNA, 987 nt
Organism: Mytilus californianus (California mussel)
Lineage: Eukaryota; Metazoa; Mollusca; Bivalvia; Mytilida; Mytilidae
Exons: 3
Source: RefSeq, a predicted model, not a curated record